CAGCACCUCAAGUGGUCAGGAUGAUUAUUGGGCCUAAAGCAUCCGUAGCCGGUUCUACAAGUCUUCCGUUAAAUCCACCUGCUUAACAGAUGGGCCGCGGAGGAUACUAUAAGACUAGGAGGCAGGAGAGGCAAGCGGUACUCAGUGGGUAGGGGUAAAAUCCGUUGAUCCAUUGAAGACCACCAGUGGCGAAGGCGGCUUGCCAGAAUGCGCUCGACGGUGAGGGAUGAAAGCUGGGGGAGCAAACCGGAUUAGAGACCCGAGUAGUCC
Molecule: ribosomal RNA, 270 nt
Filed under: uncultured archaeon
Lineage: Archaea
Description: partial 16S ribosomal RNA
Rfam family: Archaeal small subunit ribosomal RNA
Source: RNAcentral